Molecule: long non-coding RNA, 432 nt
Organism: Vigna unguiculata (cowpea)
Lineage: Eukaryota; Viridiplantae; Streptophyta; Magnoliopsida; Fabales; Fabaceae
Source: RefSeq, a predicted model, not a curated record
ACUGUGUAGCAGAAAACAUAUUUUCUGGGGCAGUUACCAUAGCCAUACACUGCACACCUUCUACGCUGGGCAUCGCCAAGAUCAAAACUUUCCACUCUUUGAAGAUCAAACCAUGUCUCAUUUCAACUGGGAGGCUGAUAAAAUGUUAGAUUUAUAUAUCUACCAUUAUCUUACGAAGAGACAAUUGCAUACUACUGCAAGAUUAUUCAAGGCCGAAGCAAAUGUUUCAACGGGUUCUGUUGUUAUAGAAGCACCUUCUGGUUUUCUCUUUGAGUGGUGGUCUGGGACAUAUAUAUUGCCAGGGCAAAUCAGAAGCAGCAUCUUACAGUAAGAUACAAGUGCCCAAGAUGUCCAAACCUCAAAAUGAUCCCCUUCUGCAAUCGGGGACAACUUGUGGAACACUUCUCUAUGAACUUCAUCACAUAGUUACCG